This 363-nucleotide ribosomal RNA is filed under the name uncultured bacterium. RNAcentral describes it as "bacterial SSU rRNA". It matches the Rfam family "Bacterial small subunit ribosomal RNA", at positions 1040 to 1395 of the family's 1533-position model. The record is from RNAcentral.
GGUGCAUGGCUGUCGUCAGCUCGUGUCGUGAGAUGUUGGGUUAAGUCCCGCAACGAGCGCAACCCUUGUCCCGUGUUGCCAGCAGGCCCUUGUGGUGCUGGGGACUCACGGGAGACCGCCGGGGUCAACUCGGAGGAAGGUGGGGACGACGUCAAGUCAUCAUGCCCCUUAUGUCUUGGGCUGCACACGUGCUACAAUGGCCGGUACAAAGAGCUGCGAUACCGUGAGGUGGAGCGAAUCUCAAAAAGCCGGUCUCAGUUCGGAUUGGGGUCUGCAACUCGACCCCAUGAAGUCGGAGUCGCUAGUAAUCGCAGAUCAGCAUUGCUGCGGUGAAUACGUUCCCGGGUCUUGUACACACCGCCU